RNAcentral lists this ribosomal RNA (253 nucleotides) under uncultured bacterium. RNAcentral's name for it is "partial 16S ribosomal RNA". It matches the Rfam family "Bacterial small subunit ribosomal RNA", at positions 524 to 776 of the family's 1533-position model. The record is from RNAcentral.
UACGGGGGGGGCAAGCGUUGUUCGGAAUUACUGGGCGUAAAGGGUGCGUAGGCGGUCUGUUAAGUUGGAUGUGAAAACUCUGGGCUCAACCCAGAGCCUGCAUCCAAAACUGGCAGGCUAGAGUUCUGGAGGGGGUAGCGGAAUUCCUGGUGUAGCGGUGAAAUGCGUAGAUAUCAGGAGGAACACCGGUGGCGAAGGCGGGUCUCUGGGCAGUAACUGACGCUGAGGAGCGAAAGCGUGGGGAGCGAACAGG